Non-coding RNA from Rattus norvegicus (Norway rat), 850 nucleotides. The record is from RefSeq and is a predicted model, not a curated record. NCBI's taxonomy places the organism in Eukaryota, Metazoa, Chordata, Mammalia, Rodentia, Muridae.
AGAAGAGAAGUCGAAGAAUGUGGGCCUCCUCUGCUGUUUUAGUAACCUGGGAGUAUCUCAGAAAUUUGCAUGUGGCUCUGGAUGUGCCCACUUGGAGCCUCCUUCCCCACUUUUAACUGUCUUACACGGACAUUGGGGACUUCAGUCUAGGAAGCAUGAAUCCCCGGCCCAACUUUAAAGAACGCUCAGGAACACCAAGUCUUCCCUACCCCAGAGGAAGACAUUCUAAGUGGUUGAGUCUAUCCGGUCAGCCUAGAGGCUCAUCGUGGGAACUCACUGAAGAGCCCCAGGAGUUGGGAGGCUUGUUCCCAUGCUGACAGAACAGCCCAGAGCCUGAUCAACUAGUCAAGGAGCAGGACCCAGCCUGGGGAUAUUUAAUCAUCUGUUCAUGGAGACCCUGUUUAUAUAUCUUCUUCCCGGUCUUGCUUCUCUGUCCCUCUCCUUCCUUCUCCAUCCCCUUCUUCUUUUUCUUUUCUUUUCUUUCUUUCUUUUUUUUUUUGAGACAAGGUCUUGUUAUGUAACAUAGGCAGUCUUUAAAACUCACUAUCCUCCUGCCUCAGCAGCCCAAGUGCUCCUUCACAGGAGUUCCUCACCUAGUCUGGCUUCCUUCUUUGUCCCCCCCUUAUGCUCUGCGGAGGAGAAGCCAGGGACAGCAGAGUCCUGAUGACAUCUAUCAAGGGGGAAGACCAGCCCAGCCUGGAGGAGCCAACACUACCCUCACUGUUCUCACCACAGCCUGCACUUUAUUAGAAUUUAUAAGUUGCCCCGAUUGAGGGGGAAAAUAAUUAACAUCCCUACAAAUAUAUCGUAAACAAAAUAUUUAUUAGAAAUAAAUAACUCAUUUAUUUUA